This 593-nucleotide ribosomal RNA is filed under the name Hanseniaspora uvarum. RNAcentral's name for it is "eukaryotic LSU rRNA". It matches the Rfam family "Eukaryotic large subunit ribosomal RNA", at positions 38 to 645 of the family's 3401-position model. Lineage: Eukaryota; Fungi; Ascomycota; Saccharomycetes; Saccharomycodales; Saccharomycodaceae. The record is from RNAcentral.
GCAUAAUAAUCCGGAGGGAAAAAGAAACCAACUGGGAUUACCUUAGUAACGGCGAGUGAAGCGGUAAAAGCUCAAAUUUGAAAUCUGGUACUUUCAGUGCCCGAGUUGUAAUUUGUAGAAUUUGUCUUUGAUUAGGUCCUUGUCUAUGUUCCUUGGAACAGGACGUCAUAGAGGGUGAGAAUCCCGUUUGGCGAGGAUACCUUUUCUCUGUAAGACUUUUUCGAAGAGUCGAGUUGUUUGGGAAUGCAGCUCAAAGUGGGUGGUAAAUUCCAUCUAAAGCUAAAUAUUGGCGAGAGACCGAUAGCGAACAAGUACAGUGAUGGAAAGAUGAAAAGAACUUUGAAAAGAGAGUGAAAAAGUACGUGAAAUUGUUGAAAGGGAAGGGCAUUUGAUCAGACAUGGUGUUUUUUGCAUGCACUCGCCUCUCGUGGGCUUGGGCCUCUCAAAAAUUUCACUGGGCCAACAUCAAUUCUGGCAGCAGGAUAAAUCAUUAAGAAUGUAGCUACUUCGGUAGUGUUAUAGCUUUUUGGAAUACUGUUAGCCGGGAUUGAGGACUGCGCUUCGGCAAGGAUGUUGGCAUAAUGGUUGAAUGC